ACUCAAAUGAAUUGACGGGGGCCCGCACAAGCGGUGGAGCAUGUGGUUCAAUUCGACGCAACGCGAAGAACCUUACCGGGGUUUGAACUGUACGGGACAGCCUCAGAGAUGAGGUUUUCCUUCGGGACCCGUAUAGAGGUGCUGCAUGGCUGUCGUCAGCUCGUGUCGUGAGAUGUUGGGUUAAGUCCCGCAACGAGCGCAACCCUUGCCUGCUGUUGCUAACGAGUAAUGUCGAGCACUCUGCAGAGACUGCCGGUGAUAAACCGGAGGAAGGUGGGGAUGACGUCAAGUCCUCAUGGCCUUUAUGCCCCGGGCUACACACGUGCUACAAUGGGCGGUACAAAGGGUCGCAAAACCGCGAGGUGGAGCUAAUCCCAAAAAGCCGCUCCCAGUUCGGAUUGGAGUCUGCAACUCGACUCCAUGAAGUUGGAAUCGCUAGUAAUCGCGGAUCAGCACGCCGCGGUGAAUACGUUCCCGGGCCUUGUACACACCGCCCGU
Molecule: ribosomal RNA, 498 nt
Filed under: uncultured bacterium
Lineage: Bacteria
Description: partial 16S ribosomal RNA
Rfam family: Bacterial small subunit ribosomal RNA
Source: RNAcentral